Podarcis lilfordi (Lilford's wall lizard) is the source of this 75-nucleotide non-coding RNA. The record is from the annotation of a GenBank genome assembly. NCBI's taxonomy places the organism in Eukaryota, Metazoa, Chordata, Lepidosauria, Squamata, Lacertidae.
GGAAGGACUGUGGCUCAAUGGCAGAGCACCUGCUUUGAGUGCAGAAGGUCCCGGGUUCAAUCCCCAGCAUUGCCA